Molecule: ribosomal RNA, 281 nt
Filed under: uncultured bacterium
Lineage: Bacteria
Description: partial 16S ribosomal RNA
Rfam family: Bacterial small subunit ribosomal RNA
Source: RNAcentral
CUACACACGUGCUACAAUGGCUGGAAAAGAGGGUAUGCGUGUCCGUGACGGUGACUAAUCUCUUCUAGCAGUCAUCAGUUCGGAUUGUAGGCUGCAACUCGCCUACUUGAAGUCGGAAUCGCUAGUAAUCGCGAAUCAGCUCGGCCGCGGUGAAUACGUUCCCGGGCUUUGUACACCCCGCCCGUCACACCACGAGAGUUUGUAACACCCGAAGUCGGUGAGGUAACCUUUGGGAGGCCGCCGCCUAAGGUGGGGUUAGAUAAUUGGGGUGAAGUCCGAAC